This 97-nucleotide small nucleolar RNA is filed under the name Plasmodium cynomolgi strain B. RNAcentral describes it as "small nucleolar RNA snoR19". It matches the Rfam family "small nucleolar RNA snoR19". Lineage: Eukaryota; Apicomplexa; Aconoidasida; Haemosporida; Plasmodiidae. The record is from Rfam by way of RNAcentral.
AAAAAUGAUGAUUCUAUGCGCAGAAAUAAAAAUCAAAGUCGUACUACUUAUGUAGAAUGAUGAUACUGGAUGUCAUCCUUGAACUGAUUUUUUUUUU